GUUAUCACUCUGGCAGCACAUAUAUUAAUAUUGGAAUGAUACAGAGAAAAUUAGCAUGGUCCUGGCUUAGGGAUGACAUGCAAAUUCAUGAGAUUUGUUCUAUAUUUUU
Sorex fumeus (smoky shrew) is the source of this 109-nucleotide small nuclear RNA. NCBI's taxonomy places the organism in Eukaryota, Metazoa, Chordata, Mammalia, Eulipotyphla, Soricidae. The record is from RefSeq and is a predicted model, not a curated record.